CUUGACAAAAUAUAAGAGGUCCAGCCUGCCCAGUGAUAAAUUUAACGGCCGCGGUAUCCUAACCGUGCGAAGGUAGCAUAAUCAUUUGUUCUUUAAAUGGGGACUUGUAUCAACGGCACCACGAGGGCCAUACUGUCUCCUUUCUCUAGUCAGUGAAACUGAUCUCCCCGUGAAGAAGCGGGGAUUUAACUAUUAGACGAGAAGACCCCAUGGAGCUUAAAACUCAUCAUAUAAUUCUGUACCUCAUACCACCUUAAUUCAGAAUCCUAUAUGCUAGUUUUAGGUUGGGGGGACCUCGGAGUAUAAUUUAACCUCCAUAACAAAUGGGCUAAUACCCUUAUCCAAGAUAAACACCUCUAAGAAUUAUUAAAUUAAUGUUUAAUGACCCGAUAUAUUCGAUCAAUGAAC
Molecule: ribosomal RNA, 408 nt
Filed under: Lithobates palmipes group sp. ABGD cluster 2
Lineage: Eukaryota; Metazoa; Chordata; Amphibia; Anura; Ranidae
Description: partial large subunit ribosomal RNA
Rfam family: Bacterial large subunit ribosomal RNA
Source: RNAcentral